RNAcentral lists this long non-coding RNA (272 nucleotides) under Oncorhynchus kisutch (coho salmon). Its description in RNAcentral is "lncRNA (ENSOKIG00005029430.1)". Lineage: Eukaryota; Metazoa; Chordata; Actinopteri; Salmoniformes; Salmonidae. The record is from RNAcentral.
UAUACAGGGUGUACUGGUAGAGCAAGGCAGGGUGUAUACAGGGUGUACUGGUAGAGCAAGGCAGGCUAUAUACAGGGUGUAUACUGGUAGAGCAAGGCAGGGUGUAUACAGGGUGUAUACUGGUAGAGCAAGGCAGGGUGUAUACAGGGUGUACUGGUAGAGCAAGGCAGGCUAUAUACAGGGUGUACUGGUAGAGCAAGGCAGGGUUAUACAGGGUGUACUGGUAGAGCAAGGCAGGGUGUAUACAGGGUGUACUGGUAGAGCAAGGCAGG